RNAcentral lists this ribosomal RNA (467 nucleotides) under uncultured bacterium. RNAcentral's name for it is "partial 16S ribosomal RNA". It matches the Rfam family "Bacterial small subunit ribosomal RNA", at positions 29 to 507 of the family's 1533-position model. The record is from RNAcentral.
ACGAACGCUGGCGGCGUGCUUAACACAUGCAAGUCGAACGGAAAGGCCCUGCUUUUGUGGGGUGCUCGAGUGGCGAACGGGUGAGCAACACGUGAGUAACCUGCCCUUGACUUUGGGAUAACUUCAGGAAACUGGGGCUAAUACCGGAUAGGAGCUCCUGCUGCAUAGUGGGGGUUGGAAAGUUUCGGCGGUUGGGGAUGGACUCGCGGCUUAUCAGCUUGUUGGUGGGGUAGUGGCUUACCAAGGCUUUGACGGGUAGCCGGCCUGAGAGGGUGACCGGCCACAUUGGGACUGAGAUACGGCCCAGACUCCUACGGGAGGCAGCAGUGGGGAAUAUUGCACAAUGGGCGGAAGCCUGAUGCAGCAACGCCGCGUGCGGGAUGACGGCCUUCGGGUUGUAAACCGCUUUCGCCUGUGACGAAGCGUGAGUGACGGUAAUGGGUAAAGAAGCACCGGCUAACUACGUG